GGGGUUGUAGUUAAAUAUAACAUUUGGGUUGCAUUCAAAAAGUAUUGAAAUAUCAAUCAACCUCA
Molecule: transfer RNA, 65 nt
Filed under: Abracris sp. OR222
Lineage: Eukaryota; Metazoa; Arthropoda; Insecta; Orthoptera; Acrididae
Description: tRNA-Ala
Source: RNAcentral